RNAcentral lists this long non-coding RNA (1215 nucleotides) under Elaeis guineensis (African oil palm). RNAcentral describes it as "long non-coding RNA (EGUI_LNC050099)". The record is from RNAcentral. Lineage: Eukaryota; Viridiplantae; Streptophyta; Magnoliopsida; Arecales; Arecaceae.
GAUAAGGACUAGCCUUUUUAGGUUGAUUGGUUCUUGAUCUGGAAUCAAGAAAGGAUCUAUAUAAAGAAAUAUUUUGGGUUCUGAUCAUGCAGUGAAAAAUAAAUUUUAAAAUUUUUAAAAUAAAUAUAUCAAUAGCUUUAACAAUUUAAACCAUCGAACCGAAACCCAAACCCUAGAAUCACUUUGUCGAUGUCGAUCAAAACAAAAACAAGCAUGCAAAGAGAUAGAAUUUUAUACUUUCAUAAAAAAUAAUAUGGUAUGAUGGUGAUCUCUAUGAGACUCCAAAGUAGAAGCCCUCCAAUGGUGAUCCACAUAGAAGUUGGCCAGGGUCCUUCCUAAUCGGUGCGCUGUCACAACCUUGUCUUUUCAAGAAUACUGCCGACUUUGAACUCGAAGUACGAUCACACAAAAGUCCAGUCACCUUCAAUUUUACUAUCAGAAUCACACCAAGAAGACCCUCUUCAAAAAUCUCACAACGUAAGACUUGAUUUUGUGCUCCAACACAUGAAAAAAUCAAACCUUAAGGCUAACUAGCAACACUUGCUAAUUCUCUCACUACCCUUCUUACAACUUUUUCCUCUUAAUUUUUUCUUCUCUUUUUCUUAGAUUUUUUCCAAAUUUUUUUUUCUCUUUUACAUGCUAAUUAGCUAUGAUUUUCAUCCAAAAUUUAGUGCCUGGUCCAUAUGGGAUGCCCCAUAUAAAAUAGGUGAGAAGGGACGUGAGAAAGGACCAAGGGGCGCCAACUUUUGGUGCUCCACCUUCUCACAUGGUGAAAUAAAUCAUCAUAAUUUAUUUUGACAUAAGAGAGCCUUCACAUAGAAAGACUCCUUCUCUUCUGCACCCCAUAAAUUUUUGAUAAAAAAUCAGCAUGAAAUAAAGAGAGUUCUAGAUGAGAAAUGAUGAGAUAAGAUAAGGUAAGAGCCUUCAUUAAGAAGGACUGUUCAUAUCUCAAUGCUAAUUAAGAGGGGGUGGCAUUAAUAUUUUGGUGUGAGACCUGAAGGACACAGAGGACUCCUUUCACAUUUGAAAUAAUUCUAAGUUGGAUAAGAACCCAAUUAAAAUAGAUCCAAUCUCAUUAGGUCAAAGACAACUGGUCUAGUUUAGCUCAAACACGUUGAACUGAACCUAUUUAGGAACUUGGAUUAAUACAAUAUGCUAGCAUAUUAAAUUGACCUUAAAAUUUAUAUUAAAUUUUAAUUAAAUUAGACUAAGAUC